GUGGGGAAUCUUGCGCAAUGGGCGAAAGCCUGACGCAGCCAUGCCGCGUGAAUGAUGAAGGUCUUAGGAUUGUAAAAUUCUUUCACCGGGGACGAUAAUGACGGUACCCGGAGAAGAAGCCCCGGCUAACUUCGUGCCAGCAGCCGCGGUAAUACGAAGGGGGCUAGCGUUGCUCGGAAUUACUGGGCGUAAAGGGCGCGUAGGCGGACAGUUUAGUCAGCGGUGAAAGCCCAGGGCUCAACCUUGGAAUUGCCUUUGAUACUGGCUGUCUUGAGUACGGGAGAGGUGAGUGGAACUCCGAGUGUAGAGGUGAAAUUCGUAGAUAUUCGGAAGAACACCAGUGGCGAAGGCGACUCACUGGCCCGUUACUGACGCUGAGGCGCGAAAGCGUGGGGAGCAAACAGGAUUAGAAACCCUUGUAGUCC
RNAcentral lists this ribosomal RNA (425 nucleotides) under uncultured bacterium. RNAcentral's name for it is "partial 16S ribosomal RNA". It matches the Rfam family "Bacterial small subunit ribosomal RNA", at positions 354 to 796 of the family's 1533-position model. The record is from RNAcentral.